RNAcentral lists this long non-coding RNA (666 nucleotides) under Monodelphis domestica (gray short-tailed opossum). RNAcentral's name for it is "lncRNA (ENSMODG00000032768.2)". Lineage: Eukaryota; Metazoa; Chordata; Mammalia; Didelphimorphia; Didelphidae. The record is from RNAcentral.
GGGCAGGACUGAAGUUUUGGGUCAAUCAAGGACCAUCACAAUGUCCCAAAGGACAGCUUUCGCAGCAGGGAUCCAGGAAAGCAACGCUUAUGGAGAAGGGGACAACCACUACCAUCAACUUUCAUCCAUAUGGUGGGGAAACCAUCUAACUAAAAUAGCAACAUGUCUUGAGGCAGGGAGAGAAAGAAUACAGGAUGUUCCAGGUUCCACAGAGCUGUUGCCAUUCGCUCCUGAGCAUGGUCCAACUCCUCAUCAACCAGCUGGACUCCAGCUGCUUCUCUCCUCUCCCUUUGACUGAAGAUACCCCAUCCUCUCCUCUGCAUCAUCUGCCUGUUGCUGGAGAACUUGAAUUUUACACCACACUCCCUCCAUGCUCUUGAAGUGCAGAAUGGAAGAUCAUUUGUCUACUAUUUUAAAGAGUAGAUUCCAAUGCAUUCCUUAUUCAUGUACAACCUAGCAAUGGCCUCUGAAUUCCCUUUGGACUUCGAUUUUGGGGAUUUUUAAAAGCCUGUUACUAAAGGUAUAAAAACAUUGUUUUACAAAAGGGAGGGGGACAAUUUAAACUUCCUGGAUCAUAAACUGAGAUGAUAAUUUGCCUUGAUAAAGCUCUAAUUCAGAUACUCUGCUUGAGGAUAAUAAAAUGUUGACUUAAUCCUGAAAUUCUCA